Molecule: ribosomal RNA, 917 nt
Filed under: uncultured bacterium
Lineage: Bacteria
Description: bacterial SSU rRNA
Rfam family: Bacterial small subunit ribosomal RNA
Source: RNAcentral
UAGAGUUUGAUCCUGGCUCAGGAUGAACGCUAGCUAUAGGCUUAACACAUGCAAGUCGAGGGGCAGCGGGGGUAAAGCUUGCUUUAUCUGCCGGCGACCGGCGCACGGGUGCGUAACGCGUAUCCAAUCUACCCAUUACUCUGGGAUAGCCUUGCGAAAGUAAGAUUAAUACUGGAUAGUCUCAUUUGCCUGCCUGGGUAUUUGAGUAAAGAUUUAUUGGUAAUGGAUGAGGAUGCGUCCCAUUAGCUUGUUGGCGGGGUAACGGCCCACCAAGGCUUCGAUGGGUAGGGGUUCUGAGAGGAAGAUCCCCCACACUGGAACUGAGACACGGUCCAGACUCCUACGGGAGGCAGCAGUGAGGAAUAUUGGUCAAUGGACGGAAGUCUGAACCAGCCAAGUAGCGUGCAGGAUGACGGCCUUAUGGGUUGUAAACUGCUUUUAUAUGAGAGUAAAGGUGCCUACGUGUAGGUAUUUGCAAGUAUCAUAAGAAAAAGGACCGGCUAAUUCCGUGCCAGCAGCCGCGGUAAUACGGAAGGUUCGGGCGUUAUCCGGAUUUAUUGGGUUUAAAGGGAGCGUAGGCGGGAUAUUAAGUCAGUUGUGAAAGUUUGGGGCUCAACCUUAAAAUUGCAGUUGAUACUGAUAUUCUUGAGUGCACAUAAGGAUGGUGGAAUUCGUGGUGUAGCGGUGAAAUGCUUAGAUAUCACGAAGAACUCCGAUUGCGAAGGCAGCUGUCUGGGGUGUAACUGACGCUGAGGCUCGAAAGUGUGGGUAUCAAACAGGAUUAGAUACCCUGGUAGUCCACACUGUAAACGUUGAAUACUCGCUUUUGGUGAUAUACUGCCAGAGGCCAAGCGAAAGCAUUAAGUAUUCCACCUGGGGAGUACGCCGGCAACGGUGAAACUCAAAGGAAUUGACGG